CCCUUAGAUGUUCUGGGCCGCACGCGCGCUACACUGAUGCAUUCAACAAGCCUAGCCUUGACCGAGAGGUCCGGGUAAUCUUUGAAACUGCAUCGUGAUGGGGCUAGAUUAUUGCAAUUAUUAAUCUUCAACGAGGAAUGCCUAGUAAGCGUGAUUCAUCAAAUCGCGUUGAUUACGUCCCUGCCCUUUGUACACACCGCCCGUCGCUCCUACCGAUUGAAUGUGUAGGUGAGGAGCUCGGAUUGGCAGCAGUUGGUGGUUCGCCACCGGCUAUUGCUGAGAAGUCCUCCAAACCGCCCCAUUUAGAGGAAGGAGAAGUCGUAACA
Molecule: ribosomal RNA, 326 nt
Filed under: uncultured eukaryote
Lineage: Eukaryota
Description: partial 18S ribosomal RNA
Rfam family: Eukaryotic small subunit ribosomal RNA
Source: RNAcentral